UUGAGUAGCUCAAUUGGUAGAGUAUGAGACUCUUAAUCUCAGGGUUGUGGGUUUGAGCUUCACACUAGCCAAA
Molecule: non-coding RNA, 73 nt
Organism: Podarcis lilfordi (Lilford's wall lizard)
Lineage: Eukaryota; Metazoa; Chordata; Lepidosauria; Squamata; Lacertidae
Source: the annotation of a GenBank genome assembly